AAGAGUUUAGAAUAAUGGUAGUUUUGUGAUCUCCAAAAUCAAAGGUAGGUGUUCGAUUCGCCUAACUCUUG
RNAcentral lists this transfer RNA (71 nucleotides) under Auricularia cornea. RNAcentral describes it as "tRNA-Trp". It matches the Rfam family "tRNA". Rfam says of the family: Transfer RNA (tRNA) molecules are approximately 80 nucleotides in length. Their secondary structure includes four short double-helical elements and three loops (D, anti-codon, and T loops). RNAcentral also lists the same sequence under 1 other name. The record is from RNAcentral. Lineage: Eukaryota; Fungi; Basidiomycota; Agaricomycetes; Auriculariales; Auriculariaceae.